This 279-nucleotide ribosomal RNA is filed under the name uncultured bacterium. RNAcentral's name for it is "partial 16S ribosomal RNA". It matches the Rfam family "Bacterial small subunit ribosomal RNA", at positions 506 to 784 of the family's 1533-position model. The record is from RNAcentral.
UGCCAGCCGCCGCGGUAAUACGGAGGGGGCGAGCGUUAUUCGGAAUUACUGGGCGUAAAGGGUGCGUAGGCGGCCCAUCAAGUUAGACGUGAAAGCCCCGGGCUCAACCUGGGAAUUGCGUUUAAUACUGGUGAGCUAGAGUACGAGAGAGGAAAGUGGAAUUCCUAGUGUAGAGGUGAAAUUCGUAGAUAUUAGGAAGAACACCAGUGGCGAAGGCGGCCACCUGGCUCGAUACUGACGCUGAGGUGCGAAAGCGUGGGGAGCAAACAGGAUUAGAUA